Molecule: long non-coding RNA, 435 nt
Filed under: Mytilus galloprovincialis (Mediterranean mussel)
Lineage: Eukaryota; Metazoa; Mollusca; Bivalvia; Mytilida; Mytilidae
Source: RNAcentral
GUUGGUGGUUGACUGUGUAUACUGUUCAUAUGUUGGUGGUUGAUUUUGUAUAUUGUUUAUGGGUUGGUGGUUGAUUUUGUAUACUGUUUAAGUGUUGGUGGUUGAUUUUAUAUACUGUUUAUGUUUUGGUGGUUGAUUGUGUAUACUGUUCAUGUGUUGGUGGUUGAUUUUGUAUACUGUUCAUGUGUUGGUGGUUGAUUUUGUAUACUGUUUAAGUGUUGAUGGUUAAUUUUAUAUACUGUGUAUGUGUUGGUGGUUGAUUGUGUAUAUUGUAUAUGGGUUGGUGGUUGAUUUUCUAUACUCUUUAAGUGUUGGUGGUUGAUUUUAUAUACUGUUUAUGUGUUGGUGGUUGAUUUUGUAUACUGUUUAUGUGUUGGUGGUUGAUUCUGUAUAUUGUUUAUGGGUUGGUGGUUGAUUUUGUAUACUGUUUAAGUG